RNAcentral lists this ribosomal RNA (360 nucleotides) under uncultured bacterium. RNAcentral's name for it is "partial 16S ribosomal RNA". It matches the Rfam family "Bacterial small subunit ribosomal RNA", at positions 338 to 696 of the family's 1533-position model. The record is from RNAcentral.
CCUACGGGAGGCAGCAGUGAGGAAUAUUGGUCAAUGGUCGGGAGACUGAACCAGCCAAGCCGCGUGAGGGAAGAAGGUACAGAGUAUCGUAAACCUCUUUUGUCAGGGAACAAAGGCGGGGACGUGUCUACGGAUGCGUGUACCUGAAGAAACAGCAUCGGCUAACUCCGUGCCAGCAGCCGCGGUAAUACGGAGGGUGCGAGCGUUAUCCGGUUGUAUGGGGUUUCACGGGUGGGCAGUGGGUGUGUUCAGUCAGCGGGCAAAGCUCGGGGUUAAACCCAGGACCGCAGUUGAAACUGGGAGUCGCGAGUGGGAGAGAGGUAGGCGGAAUGCGCGGUGUAGCGGUGAAAUGCAUAGAUA